This 781-nucleotide ribosomal RNA is filed under the name uncultured bacterium. RNAcentral's name for it is "bacterial SSU rRNA". It matches the Rfam family "Bacterial small subunit ribosomal RNA", at positions 28 to 807 of the family's 1533-position model. The record is from RNAcentral.
GAUGAACGCUGGCGGCGUGCUUAACACAUGCAAGUCGAGCGAAGCACUCUGCUUUGAUUCUUUCGGGAUGAAGAGCAUUGUGACUGAGCGGCGGACGGGUGAGUAACGCGUGGGUAACCUGCCUCAUACAGGGGGAUAACAGUUAGAAAUGGCUGCUAAUACCGCAUAAGACCACAGCACCGCAUGGUGCAGGGGUAAAAACUCCGGUGGUAUGAGAUGGACCCGCGUCUGAUUAGCUAGUUGGGGGGGUAACGGCCUACCAAGGCGACGAUCAGUAGCCGACCUGAGAGGGUGACCGGCCACAUUGGGACUGAGACACGGCCCAAACUCCUACGGGAGGCAGCAGUGGGGAAUAUUGCACAGUGGGGGAAACCCUGAUGCAGCGACGCCGCGUGAGCGAAGAAGUAUUUCGGUAUGUAAAGCUCUAUCAGCAGGGAAGAAAAUGACGGUACCUGACUAAGAAGCCCCGGCUAACUACGUGCCAGCAGCCGCGGUAAUACGUAGGGGGCAAGCGUUAUCCGGAUUUACUGGGUGUAAAGGGAGCGUAGACGGCGAGGCAAGUCUGAUGUGAAAACCCGGGGCUCAACCCCGUGACUGCAUUGGAAACUGUUUUGCUUGAGUGCCGGAGAGGUAAGCGGAAUUCCUAGUGUAGCGGUGAAAUGCGUAGAUAUUAGGAGGAACACCAGUGGCGAAGGCGGCUUACUGGACGGCAACUGACGUUGAGGCUCGAAAGCGUGGGGAGCAAACAAGAUUAGAUACCCUGGUAGUCCACGCCGUAAAC